AGGGCACCACCAGGAGUGGAGCCUGCGGCUUAAUUUGACUCAACACGGGGAAACUUACCCGGCCCGGACACUGGAAGGAUUGACAGAUUGAGAGCUCUUUCUUGAUUCAGUGGGUGGUGGUGCAUGGCCGUUCUUAGUCGGUGGAGCGAUUUGUCUGGUUAAUUCCGAUAACGAACGAGACUCUAGCCUAUUAAAUAGGCUCCCGGCUUUUAAACGCCGGGAGGACUUCUUAGAGGGACAGGUGGCGGUUCAGCCGCACGAAAGAGAGCAAUAACAGGUCUGUGAUGCCCUUUGAUGUCCGGGGCCGCACGCGCGCUACACUGAAGAGAUCAGCGUGCUUUAUGUUCCUGCUCCGACCGGAGUGGGGAACCCAGUGAAACUUCUUCGUGAUUGGGAUAGAACAUUGUAAUUAUUGUUCUUGAACGAGGAAUUCCCAGUAAAUGCGAGUCAUAAGCUCGCGUUGAUUACGUCCCUGCCCUUUGUACACACCGCCCGUCGCUACUACCGAUUGAACGAUUU
This 519-nucleotide ribosomal RNA is filed under the name uncultured eukaryote. RNAcentral's name for it is "SSU rRNA". It matches the Rfam family "Eukaryotic small subunit ribosomal RNA", at positions 1161 to 1699 of the family's 1831-position model. The record is from RNAcentral.